GUGUCCGUAGCUCAGCUGGAUAGAGUGUCGGCCUCCGGAGCCGAAGGUCCCGGGUUCGAAUCCCGGCGGGCACGCCA
RNAcentral lists this transfer RNA (77 nucleotides) under Synergistaceae bacterium. RNAcentral's name for it is "tRNA-Arg". It matches the Rfam family "tRNA". From Rfam's summary of the family: Transfer RNA (tRNA) molecules are approximately 80 nucleotides in length. Their secondary structure includes four short double-helical elements and three loops (D, anti-codon, and T loops). The record is from RNAcentral. Lineage: Bacteria; Thermotogati; Synergistota; Synergistia; Synergistales; Synergistaceae.